This 652-nucleotide long non-coding RNA is filed under the name Elaeis guineensis (African oil palm). RNAcentral describes it as "long non-coding RNA (EGUI_LNC043561)". Lineage: Eukaryota; Viridiplantae; Streptophyta; Magnoliopsida; Arecales; Arecaceae. The record is from RNAcentral.
UAGUGCAUACCGGGUGUGUUUAUUUUUGGUGCUUGAUCUUCCAUAUACAGCCCAAAUAUGAAAUUUGGUAUAGUAUGUCCGGUUUUACUCAAUCCAUUCGCAGCCCUGUGACAAUAUCCUAUGACAAACAUUUCUCGAGAUGCUACUAUGCUGGAGGGAGAUUUAUCUUACAAGAAAACGAUUGAUCCAAGAGGAUCACCGUACUCAAUUUGGACCACGGUGAAGACAAAACAAAUUUCAGAAGCAAGAUUCAUCACUUUGAAAAGUUGAAUUGCAAGCCAAUUAAACUUCUUAAGGCUAUCACUUGAUUGUAAGAUGCCCGAUUAAGAUGGACUAUUUUUUGAAGUAGGAUAACUUUCUGAGCUCUAUGGCAUGACCCCCAGCUCUCUCGAAGGAUAUAGCGCACGGAAAAAUCAAGGCCAAAAUCCAUCCAAUGGGUUUGAAAUAGAUAGGCAAAAGUAGAAAUUUUCUUGUCAGGAAAGAUUUUGAUCGAACAUAUCUCCAAAUCCAUGAAGAAUUAUGUAGACCGUCUGUUUGCAAAGUCGAUACAGAAGUCAAUAUCUACCCCUUGAUGGAUUUUAGCCUUCUCAUGAUUACUUUCACUAAUCAUGACUGCUUCAAGUAAGCUAUGUAUUCUUUUAACUUCAGGAGG